Molecule: ribosomal RNA, 440 nt
Filed under: uncultured bacterium
Lineage: Bacteria
Description: partial 16S ribosomal RNA
Rfam family: Bacterial small subunit ribosomal RNA
Source: RNAcentral
CCUACGGGUGGCAGCAGUAGGGAAUAUUGCUCAAUGGGGGAAACCCUGAAGCAGCAACGCCGCGUGGAUGAUGAAGGUUUUCGGAUUGUAAACUCCUUCUGUUAGAGAAGAUAAUGACGGUAUCUAACGAAUAAGCACCGGCUAACUCCGUGCCAGCAGCCGCGGUAAUACGGAGGGUGCAAGCGUUACUCGGAAUCACUGGGCGUAAAGCGCGCGUAGGCGGGAUAGAAAGUCAGAUGUUAAAUCCUAGGGCUUAACCAUAGAACUGCAUUUGAAACUGUUAUUCUAGAGUAUGGGAGAGGUAGGUGGAAUUCUUGGUGUAGGGGUAAAAUCCGUAGAGAUCAAGAGGAAUACGCAUUGCGAAGGCGAGCUGCUAGAACAUAACUGACGCUGAUGAGCGAAAGCGUGGGGAGCAAACAGGAUUAGAUACCCCAGUAGUC